CUAUGUGUUUAUGGAAUUGCUUCCUUCGCAGCAGCUCAUAGCUAUGGAAGAGUAAAAAAGGAGAGGGAGUUCAGGGCAGAGCAAGGAUGCCUCCAUCCACCGCAGCGAAAAUCGUGGACCAGUGGUUGGCUUCAAGCUGUCCUUCCACUUUGCCUCCACACUUGCACGUCCACCUUCAACUCCAAGAAGGCCUCCACAAUUGACAAGGAAUUGGUGGAAGCAGAGUUGGUUUGUUUCUGCUCAUCAUCAUUUCAGGUGGUCAACAAUAGGAGGCAAAAAGCAAAGCACCAGAUGAAGUACUGGUCGGCCGGCGCAGAGGAGCAGCCUGCCACCGCCGCCGGCGCGGAGGGAGAAACUAGCACCUACCGACGGUGGUGGCGUGGAGGGAGCAGCCUUGGCUCGGAUGGGUGGUGCGUGGUGGUGGGCAUCGCUGCUGGCAAAUGGAUGGACGUACGGGCGGCGACGAGAUGGAAGGACAGGACAGCGCCGGCCGGGAUGGAUGCACCGGCGGCGCGCGGGAAGAAAAUGGGCCCACGCGCCAAAAGCUGA
This 549-nucleotide long non-coding RNA is filed under the name Oryza sativa aus subgroup. RNAcentral describes it as "lncRNA OsNaBo_11g0011910". The record is from RNAcentral. Lineage: Eukaryota; Viridiplantae; Streptophyta; Magnoliopsida; Poales; Poaceae.